CACCUCAAGCAUACCCAAGCCAAUUUUCUUUGCAGAAACCAUUGAUUAAGAACAGUGUAGCUCUCAAACAAUGGGUCGUAGCAGUUUGUUUAUCCUUUUUCCUCUUCUGCUUCUGACAUUUUCAUCCAUCACAAGGGUUGCAGAAGCACGUCUCACCACAAAAAUACUCUUUCCACCGGAAGAUGACAUUCCUGAUGUGGAAGUUACACUCCCAAUUAAUAUCACACUCCCUGAGCUUGAGUUUCCUAAACUGCCAAUUCCCGACGUAAUUUUUGUUGAGGACGCCAAAAAAACCCCAUGAGUGCCUACACUUCCUCAAAUCUAUCAUAAUUCCAAGGUGGUUCUGUCGGCUGCUUUAUGUGUCCUUCAAUUACUUGUCAUGUUCAGUUUAUAUGUUGUUUCAGACAGUUUUACUGAAGCAUAAUAAUUAUUGUGAUUCGUGAUGUUGUAUCGGACUUCUUGUCUUCUACUUCAAUAAAUUACUGAAUUUCUUUUGUUUGGUAGAAAUCUUCCAUUUCUGAA
Vigna radiata var. radiata (mung bean) is the source of this 522-nucleotide long non-coding RNA. RefSeq lists it as uncharacterized. The transcript has 2 exons. The record is from RefSeq and is a predicted model, not a curated record. Lineage: Eukaryota; Viridiplantae; Streptophyta; Magnoliopsida; Fabales; Fabaceae.